This 263-nucleotide unclassified non-coding RNA is filed under the name plant metagenome. RNAcentral's name for it is "partial contains small subunit ribosomal RNA, internal transcribed spacer 1, and 5.8S ribosomal RNA". The record is from RNAcentral.
UUUCCGUAGGUGAACCUGCGGAAGGAUCAUUAUUGUAUAACCGAGGUGCGAGGGCUGUCGCUGACCCGAAAGGUCGUGCACGCCCUAGUGCCCUCACACACAUCCAUCUCACCCCUAUGUGCACCACCGCGUGGGUCCCCCUUUGGCUUGUUCGGAGGGGGGCUUACGUUUUCACACAAACUUUGUAUGCAGUGUAGAAUGUAUUUUUUGUUUUUGCGAUCACGCAACCAAUACAACUUUCAACAACGGAUCUCUUGGCUCUC